GUGUUCACUUCAGGAGCAUAUACACUGAAAUUGGAAAUAUACAGAGAAGGUUAGUAUGGCCCCUGCGCAAGGAUGACAUGAAAAUUCUAAUGUGAAGGAUUCUA
RNAcentral lists this small nuclear RNA (104 nucleotides) under Castor canadensis (American beaver). The record is from RNAcentral. Lineage: Eukaryota; Metazoa; Chordata; Mammalia; Rodentia; Castoridae.